UUAUAGAAAAUAUGGACCGUGGGAUUUGCACUAAGUGGUGAAAUUCGGUAAAGAGAGAGUAUUGAAUGGAAAAUGAUCAUUUGAUGCGACAUAAAAAAUAGAGGAAAACUGUUUUCCUCCACUGGUGGCGGCACAUCCCAAGUGGUGGCAUACUGCCCAAGGAGCGCGGUGGCACAUUACUCGAGGUUGUAAUGUACCUCACCUGGCCGACGUGCGCUGCAAGCCUAGCCUGCAGGCACCAUGCCAUGCGGAGGAGCUAGCCUGCGCGCACGCAGGGCCGCCGUGCAUAGGCCCCAGGUGUGCAGGCCUA
This 310-nucleotide long non-coding RNA is filed under the name Carica papaya (papaya). RNAcentral describes it as "long non-coding RNA (CPAP_LNC013814)". Lineage: Eukaryota; Viridiplantae; Streptophyta; Magnoliopsida; Brassicales; Caricaceae. The record is from RNAcentral.